CUGCGGAAACAAGUUCAAAACUAUGCGGGAGCGAACAACAUUUUUUAAAGCAAAGCGCUUAGUCUCUCUUGUAGCGGUCUGAUCUUUGGAUUGAAGAAUUAUAAGAAACACCGGUAUUUUCCUCCCCCCUUUCUUUUUCUUCUGCAGUGGGUCAAAGUCAUUAUUGUCUCAACCAAGAUUACAGGAAUUGGAUUAACAUUUUCUUUUCCACUCGGGGAUGAAAAAAAUGAGAAAAUUUAUACCUCCAAAAAACGAGAUCUGAGAUACCGUCUGCGAUCCAUGAAAUGAGUUCUCCACUCCUACGAUAGAGUGAAAAAAGGCCCAACAAUUCCCCUUUGCUUAUGC
This 345-nucleotide long non-coding RNA is filed under the name Jatropha curcas. RNAcentral's name for it is "long non-coding RNA (JCUR_LNC001102)". The record is from RNAcentral. Lineage: Eukaryota; Viridiplantae; Streptophyta; Magnoliopsida; Malpighiales; Euphorbiaceae.